This is a small nuclear RNA of Artibeus jamaicensis (Jamaican fruit-eating bat), 106 nucleotides long. The record is from RefSeq and is a predicted model, not a curated record. Lineage: Eukaryota; Metazoa; Chordata; Mammalia; Chiroptera; Phyllostomidae.
GUGCUCACUUCAGUAGCACGUGUACUAUUAUAGGAACGAUCGGAGAAGAUUGGCAGGGCUGUGGUGCAAGGAUGACAUGCAAAUUAGAGAAGUGUUCCAUAGCUUU